This 440-nucleotide ribosomal RNA is filed under the name uncultured bacterium. RNAcentral's name for it is "bacterial SSU rRNA". It matches the Rfam family "Bacterial small subunit ribosomal RNA", at positions 338 to 795 of the family's 1533-position model. The record is from RNAcentral.
CCUACGGGACGCAGCAGUGGGGAAUAUUGGACAAUGGGCGAAAGCCUGAUCCAGCAAUGCCGCGUGUGUGAAGAAGGUCUUCGGAUUGUAAAGCACUUUCGACGGGGACGAUGAUGACGGUACACGUAGAAGAAGCCCCGGCUAACUUCGUGCCAGCAGCCGCGGUAAUACGAAGGGGGCUAUCGUUGCUCGGAAUGACUGGGCGUAAAGGGCGCGUAGGCGGUUUAUGCAGUCAGGUGUGAAAUCCCCGGGCUUAACCUGGGGACUGCAUUUGAGACGCAUAGACUAGAGGUCGAGAGAGGGUUGUGGAAUUCCCAGUGUAGAGGUGAAAUUCGUAGAUAUUGGGAAGAACACCGGUGGCGAAGGCGGCAACCUGGCUCGAUACUGACGCUGAGGCGCGAAAGCGUGGGGAGCAAACAGGAUUAGAUACCCCCGUAGUC